GAUGAACGCUGGCGGCGUGCCUAAUACAUGCAAGUCGAGCGAACAGACGAGGAGCUUGCUCCUCUGACGUUAGCGGCGGACGGGUGAGUAACACGUGGAUAACCUACCUAUAAGACUGGGAUAACUUCGGGAAACCGGAGCUAAUACCGGAUAAUAUAUUGAACCGCAUGGUUCAAUAGUGAAAGACGGUUUUGCUGUCACUUAUAGAUGGAUCCGCGCCGCAUUAGCUAGUUGGUAAGGUAACGGCUUACCAAGGCAACGAUGCGUAGCCGACCUGAGAGGGUGAUCGGCCACACUGGAACUGAGACACGGUCCAGACUCCUACGGGAGGAAGCAGUAGGGAAUAUUCCGCAAUGGGCGAAAGCCUGACGGAGCAACGCCGCGUGAGUGAUGAAGGUCUUCGGAUCGUAAAACUCUGUUAUUAGGGAAGAACAAAUGUGUAAGUAACUAUGCACGUCUUGACGGUACCUAAUCAGAAAGCCACGGCUAACUACGUG
This 497-nucleotide ribosomal RNA is filed under the name uncultured bacterium. RNAcentral describes it as "partial 16S ribosomal RNA". It matches the Rfam family "Bacterial small subunit ribosomal RNA", at positions 28 to 507 of the family's 1533-position model. The record is from RNAcentral.